GAGUUUGAUCCUGGCUCAGGACGAACGCUGGCGGCGUGCCUAAUGCAUGCAAGUCGCACGCAGUCGCUUCGGCGGCUGAGUGGCGCACGGCUGAGAAUCACGUGGGAACAUGCCUCCUUGUGGGGGAAACACCGCGAAAGCGGUACUAAUCCCGCAUACGCUCUUGAGAGAGAGGAAAGCGUGCAGACGCGCAGGGAGAGUGGCCCGCGGCCCAUCAGGUCGUUGGUGGGGUAAUGGCCUACCAAGGCUAUGACGGGUAGCUGGUCUGAGAGGACGACCAGUCACACUGGGACUGAGACACGGCCCAGACACCUACGGGUGGCAGCAGUCGAGAAUUUUUGACAAUGGGGGAAACCCUGAUCGAGCGACGCCGCGUGGAGGAUGAAGGUCUUCGGGUUGUAAACUCCUGUCAUUUGAGAACAAGGCGCAUGUAUUAACUGUACAUGCGUUGAUAGUAUCAGAAGAGGAAGAGACGGCUAACUCUGUGCCAGCAGCCGCGGUAAUACAGAGGUCUCAAGCGUUGUUCGGAUUCAUUGGGCGUAAAGGGUGUGUAGGUGGCGCGCUAAGUCGGGUGUGAAAUUUCGGAGCUUAACUCCGAAACUGCAUUCGAUACUGGCGUGCUUGAGGACUGGAGAGGAGACUGGAAUUUACGGUGUAGCAGUGAAAUGCGUAGAUAUCGUAAGGAAGACCAGUGGCGAAGGCGGGUCUCUGGACAGUUCCUGACACUGAGACACGAAGGCCAGGGGAGCAAACGGGAUUAGAUACCCCGGUAGUCCUGGCAGUAAACGGUGCACGUUUGGUGUGGGAGGAUUCGACCCCUUCUGCGCCGGAGCUAACGCGUUAAACGUGCCGCCUGGGGAGUACGGUCGCAAGAUUAAAACUCAAAGAAAUUGACGGGGGCCCGCACAAGCGGUGGAGUAUGUGGCUCAAUUCGAUGCAACGCGAAGAACCUUACCAGGCCUUGACAUGCAUCUCUAAACCGGUGAAAGCCGGCGAGUGUCGAAAGACACAAUUUGCACAGGUGCUGCAUGGCUGUCGUCAGCUCGUGUCGUGAGAUGUUGGGUUAAGUCCCGCAACGAGCGCAACCCCUGUGAACUGUUGCCACCGAGCCGAGAGGCUCGAGCACUCUGUUCAGACUGCCUCGCUUAAACGAGGAGGAAGGUGGGGACGACGUCAAGUCAGUAUGGCCCUUACGGCCUGGGCUGCACACGUACUACAAUGCCCAGUACAGAACGAUCCGAGACCGCGAGGUGGAGGAAAUCUAACUAAAACUGGGCCCAGUUCGGAUUGGAGGCUGCAAUUCGCCUCCAUGAAGCCGGAAUCGCUAGUAAUGGCGCAUCAGCUACGGCGCCGUGAAUACGUUCCCGGGCCUUGCACACAC
This 1381-nucleotide ribosomal RNA is filed under the name uncultured Verrucomicrobiota bacterium. RNAcentral's name for it is "bacterial SSU rRNA". It matches the Rfam family "Bacterial small subunit ribosomal RNA". Lineage: Bacteria; Pseudomonadati; Verrucomicrobiota. The record is from RNAcentral.